GAUGAACGCUGGCGGCGUGCCUAAUACAUGCAAGUCGAGCGAACAGACGAGGAUCUUGCUCCUCUGACGUUAGCGGCGGACGGGUGAGUAACACGUGGAUAACCUACCUAUAAGACUGGGAUAAAUUCGGGAAACCGGAGCUAAUACCGGAUAAUAUAUUGAACCGCAUGGUUCAAUAGUGAAAGACGGUUUUGCUGUCACUUAUAGAUGGAUCCGCGCCGCGUUAGCUAGUUGGUAAGGUAACGGCUUACCAAGGCGACGAUGCGUAGCCGACGUGUGAGGGGGAUGCGGCACUCGGGGACUGAGCCACGGCACAGGCACCUAGGGGAGGCAGAAGUAGGGAAGCGUCCCAAAUGGGGGAAAGCCUGCAGGAUCAACGGAGGGUGGAUGAUGCAGCUCUGCGGACCGGAAAACUCCGUUAUGGGGGAAAACCAAAUUUGUAAAUAACUAUGCACGGCUUGACGGUACCUAAUCAGAAAGCCCCGGCUAACUACGUG
RNAcentral lists this ribosomal RNA (497 nucleotides) under uncultured bacterium. RNAcentral's name for it is "partial 16S ribosomal RNA". It matches the Rfam family "Bacterial small subunit ribosomal RNA", at positions 28 to 507 of the family's 1533-position model. The record is from RNAcentral.